This 458-nucleotide ribosomal RNA is filed under the name uncultured bacterium. RNAcentral's name for it is "bacterial SSU rRNA". It matches the Rfam family "Bacterial small subunit ribosomal RNA", at positions 466 to 921 of the family's 1533-position model. The record is from RNAcentral.
AGGCUGACGGUACCAUCAGAAGAAGCACCGGCUAACUACGUGCCAGCAGCCGCGGUAAUACGUAGGGUGCGAGCGUUAAUCGGAAUUACUGGGCGUAAAGCGUGCGCAGGCGGUUAUGUAAGACAGAUGUGAAAUCCCCGGGCUCAACCUGGGAACUGCGUUUGUGACUGCAUAACUAGAGUACGGCAGAGGGAGGUGGAAUUCCGCGUGUAGCAGUGAAAUGCGUAGAUAUGCGGAGGAACACCGAUGGCGAAGGCAGCCUCCUGGGCCAGUACUGACGCUCAUGCACGAAAGCGUGGGGAGCAAACAGGAUUAGAUACCCCUGGUAGUCCACGCCCUAAACGAUGUCAACUAGUUGUUCGGUGAGGAGACUCAUUGAGUAACGCAGCUAACGCGUGAAGUUGACCGCCUGGGGAGUACGGCCGCAAGGUUAAAACUCAAAGGAAUUGACGGGGGAC